GUUUUCCCUUGCAUAAAACAUUUUAUGGCUGAUUUUUUUCCUCACCUAUGCACAAAAACAUAAGCGAAAUAAGGAGCUCACUUGUUCAGACAGUCUUAAAUGUGCAGUGCAGAUCAGCUCUGAGCUCUGCUCCCAAGUUUGCUUAAAAAAUGUGCAGAUUUUUCGGUGACCUCUUUAGCGGGACAAAGGAGGCUGCAGAUCGAUUCGUUACACCUUUUUAGUGAGGCUUGUGGUGAAGGGGAGGGGCUCUGAAUCCACAAGAGGCUCCAUUAAUAGCCUACACUCCAUCCUAACUAUUAUCCACCAUAAAGUGUUUAUAAAGGGCACACAAGUAGGCUAAUGUGAUCUCAAAUGAGACAGCAUGAUUUAUCCGGUUACUGCAGGAGAGAAUGGUGAAGAAGGGAGAAGAAGAGGAAAAGUUUGUUUUUAUUACUGAGUUAUAGAAUCAGUAAAUAACUUGGAGGAAGAGCGCAUCCAGUCUGAAGUGAGCCAGCUCUCAUGACAUCCGUCUGCGGCCAGUUACGGGACUUAAGGACAGUAUUCAGCCAGCUCCAGCGGCUCCGAUCGGAGGUUUGGACCAAAUCAUUUACAAGAAGCUGGAUUACAAACUCUCUGCAAACCGCCCUGGUUUAACAGACUCAGGUCUGACGUGACUAUCUGCAAGGAGCAGCUGUUUAUGAGAUCGACUGGAUCGUACUGCGAAGGAGCUCUGCAGGUUGUCGAAUGAGACAUAAUGGAGAAUAUGACUGAGGUCACGCUAAGAAUAGCCCAUUGCCUGACCUCAGCUUCUCCAGCGAAGUCUGCAGCAUUAUCGGCUGAAAUAUCCACUGCUACAUGCUAACAACAAGAGACGUCUCUACAGAGGCAGCAGCGCACAGGACGACUGGCUUAGGGCAAGACAUCUGGAUCACGGCGGCUGUUGUCACCUACAAGCCACUUGCAUUCAUCCUGUAGAAGAGUACAGCUCUUUGUGUUUGCGAUAAAAAUGCAGCGUAUGUGAGUUAAUAAAUAUGCUGAGUAUGGAAACUGUU
This is a long non-coding RNA of Epinephelus fuscoguttatus (brown-marbled grouper), 1031 nucleotides long. RefSeq lists it as uncharacterized. The record is from RefSeq and is a predicted model, not a curated record. The transcript has 3 exons. Lineage: Eukaryota; Metazoa; Chordata; Actinopteri; Perciformes; Serranidae.